RNAcentral lists this ribosomal RNA (424 nucleotides) under Salmonella enterica subsp. enterica serovar Manhattan str. CFSAN001078. RNAcentral describes it as "bacterial LSU rRNA". It matches the Rfam family "Bacterial large subunit ribosomal RNA", at positions 2509 to 2925 of the family's 2925-position model. Lineage: Bacteria; Pseudomonadati; Pseudomonadota; Gammaproteobacteria; Enterobacterales; Enterobacteriaceae. The record is from RNAcentral.
CGGCGGUGUUUGGCACCUCGAUGUCGGCUCAUCACAUCCUGGGGCUGAAGUAGGUCCCAAGGGUAUGGCUGUUCGCCAUUUAAAGUGGUACGCGAGCUGGGUUUAGAACGUCGUGAGACAGUUCGGUCCCUAUCUGCCGUGGGCGCUGGAGAACUGAGGGGGGCUGCUCCUAGUACGAGAGGACCGGAGUGGACGCAUCACUGGUGUUCGGGUUGUCAUGCCAAUGGCACUGCCCGGUAGCUAAAUGCGGAAGAGAUAAGUGCUGAAAGCAUCUAAGCACGAAACUUGCCCCGAGAUGAGUUCUCCCUGAGACUUAGAGUCUCCUGAAGGAACGUUGAAGACGACGACGUUGAUAGGCCGGGUGUGUAAGCGCAGCGAUGCGUUGAGCUAACCGGUACUAAUGAACCGUGAGGCUUAACCUUAC